AUGAUUUGGCAAUUUCUAACCACACUUUUGGUUCUAUCUGCUACGCCCACACUCUCAUUUACAACUGCGCCCACUGGCACUUCUCCCACAGUUGAUACAUCAGCUGUGAUUGCACCAAACCCGGAGAGCAGCCCUUCACAAUCAACUGACUCACCAAGUACAGCAUCAUCAACAGCGACAGAACAAAUAUUCACGCCAAGUACUUCUGAACCAACAAGUACUACUACAACAGCACCCGGAACUACUGAACUUCCAUUUGAAUGGAAUGUUACCGCACCUCCAUCAGUUGUGUCCAAAUGGUGCAUGAUAAAAUUACAAAAAAACAAUGCACAAUUUACUAUUGAUUUUAUUGAGAAUGCCGAAGAGCCAUAUGAAGAGAGACUCUAUGUGUGCAACUCAAUCGCAAAUCUUUCGAGACAAGGCUGGAAGAUUUGACAAACUAUUGUGGACAACGGGAAUCAGAUGCCUUUAAGGAGUAUGUCGCCAACCGGAGAAAGAUUCACCACUGCGAUCAGUACCUGUAA
This 524-nucleotide unclassified non-coding RNA is filed under the name Caenorhabditis elegans. RNAcentral describes it as "Non-coding transcript of protein-coding gene D1086.10b". The record is from RNAcentral. Lineage: Eukaryota; Metazoa; Nematoda; Chromadorea; Rhabditida; Rhabditidae.